This 203-nucleotide long non-coding RNA is filed under the name Vigna radiata. Its description in RNAcentral is "long non-coding RNA (VRAD_LNC005249)". The record is from RNAcentral. Lineage: Eukaryota; Viridiplantae; Streptophyta; Magnoliopsida; Fabales; Fabaceae.
AGUGUUUUACUUGAUUUUAAGCUCAUUCUAAACCAUAAAGGGUGUGUUUUAAUAUCAAAUUUAAGUAUGAAAAUAACGGUUUUUAGACCGUUAUCAAUAGUAAAACGAAAUUCAAAUUAACCUGGAAACGAAUUCAGAAACAAAGGAAUGAACAAAAGAGAAAAAAAAAAACGAAAAACCUAAAAACUCCAACUAUGUUCUAC